This 253-nucleotide ribosomal RNA is filed under the name uncultured bacterium. RNAcentral describes it as "partial 16S ribosomal RNA". It matches the Rfam family "Bacterial small subunit ribosomal RNA", at positions 524 to 776 of the family's 1533-position model. The record is from RNAcentral.
UACGUAGGGUGCAAGCGUUGUCCGGAAUUAUUGGGCGUAAAGCGUCUGUAGGUGGCUUUUUAAGUCCGCCGUCAAAUCCCAGGGCUCAACCCUGGACAGGCGGUGGAAACUACCAAGCUGGAGUACGGUAGGGGCAGGUGGAAUUCCGGGUGUAGCGGUGGAAUGCGUAGAGAUCCGGAAGAACACCGGUGGCGAAGGCGGCCUGCUGGGCAGUAGCUGACGCUGAGGCGCGACAGCGUGGGGAGCAAACAGG